GUUGAACGCUGGCGGCAUGCCUUACACAUGCAAGUCGAGCGGUAACGGGCCUUCGGGUGCCGACGAGUGGCGAACGGGUGAGUAAUACAUCGGAACGUGCCCGAUCGUGGGGGAUAACGAGGCGAAAGCUUUGCUAAUACCGCAUACGAUCUACGGAUGAAAGCAGGGGACCGCAAGGCCUUGCGCGGACGGAGCGGCCGAUGGCAGAUUAGGUAGUUGGUGGGAUAAAAGCUUACCAAGCCGACGAUCUGUAGCUGGUCUGAGAGGAUGAUCAGCCACACUGGGACUGAGACACGGCCCAGACUCCUACGGGAGGCAGCAGUGGGGAAUUUUGGACAAUGGGCGCAAGCCUGAUCCAGCCAUGCCGCGUGCAGGAUGAAGGCCUUCGGGUUGUAAACUGCUUUUGUACGGAACGAAAAGCCUUCUUUUAAUACAGGAGGGUCAUGACGGUACCGUAAGAAUAAGCACCGGCUAACUACGUG
RNAcentral lists this ribosomal RNA (482 nucleotides) under uncultured bacterium. Its description in RNAcentral is "partial 16S ribosomal RNA". It matches the Rfam family "Bacterial small subunit ribosomal RNA", at positions 28 to 507 of the family's 1533-position model. The record is from RNAcentral.